UUUUUUAAUUUUGAGAUUGACUUGCUGCUUCCGAUUGGAUCAAUCGCAAGCAGCUCUUGAGUUUCCCCCGUUUCCGAGCAAGAUGGACACGAGCAACGAACCCGUACCCGUACUCCAGUACUGUAAUUAAAGAGUCAAAAUAUCAAUGUACUACUUGUCCCGAGACUCUACCACUCUAUCGUGUCUUUUGAUACUUGAACGCGAUGUGAAAAACAUAAAUUUUAUAAUCAUAGUGAAAGGUGGACUCAAAUCUUAGCUGUCCAAAUAUUCUAGACGGUUGUUUUUUUCGACGGCUGUUAUUUACAGACUCAGGGGCAAUCCAAAUCCUUUACUCAUUGAUCUGAAUAUGGCCAUUAUGUGUGGAUUCAAAGAGCCAAUUUUCCAUGGGCCUCGUUCUUUGGAAUUUGCUGCGCAUCAUGUUAUUUGCAAGAAUCAAGCUCCGUCAAGAUCCCAUACACAUACGUGGCUGAAAAACUCAUAUGUAUCAAUCAGAUUCAGGAUUCUGAGAUGUUCAAUGGAUAGAUUUUGUUUCUUUAUAACAUCUUCCGUUAAUAGGUUCUGGACUGAUUAACGAUGUACCACCUGAACAAAAGAAAGACUUUUUCUCCUUACGUAUAUCUAAAUUAAAGUGGGAUACGUUAAGAAAAAAAGUUGACAUUACCCAUUUAUCAAAUUUAAUGUAUAUGAUAGUAUUCAACAGGGUUAAGAAUACAAUUUGUUUUAUAUCGCUCCGGAUGGACAAUUUUGAUGUAGAAUGAAGCAGAGAACAAUUGAUAUAUGGGAAAAAGAUUCUCAAUCAAUAGGAACUCAUGUAUUUUGUAGAUAUGCUGGGAGUAUGUAGCUGGAAUUGAACCUUGUUUAGAUUCACAAGAUUGGCGAAUAAUAUACACCAAUAUCUUGUGAAUCUAAACAAGGUCCAUGAUAUAUACGCUGUAUAUCUUACGGACCAAGUGAUUAAUAGGACAUUGUAAAAAAUGCCUGGGCAGUUUGAAAAAUGCUCAAUAUGAAAGAGCAACGUAAUAAUAAAUAUUGAAAUAAUCAAAUUGUCCGGGCAUUAUUUAUAAUGUUUAUCACCUACAGAGCAGAUUAAUAAAAACCAGGUUUUAUUACUGUUAUUUUUAUUUUUUAAACUUCGACUUAAACUUAAAACUAAACAAAAACAAAAGAUCCGAUUGACGUUCGCUCAUAACCGUCGCGGGCUGUGAUUGGUGAGUGUGUAUCACGCGUAAAGACUGGACAUUAUGAGAAAUGUCUCAAUUUAUUACUCGGUCCAUAACAUAUAUAUGUGUCAUUCCCUAUACAUUCAACGACGUUGCGACGGUGACCCCUUCGAUUUUUUUGAUUUUUUAAUAUGUUUCUAUACAUUUAAAAAGAAGUCUUUAGUUAAAUUUUUAGCUCGUUAUCUACACCCAUUCCAGAAUUAUCGAUUUCUGCUUAAAAAAUGUAUAUCUUUGACUAUAAUUAUGAUAAUGUCACUUAAUACGGAUCAUUUUUUUUUAAUUUUUAACGCUCUUUCUAACUAAAAAUUAAAAAACGGAAAAAUAAUUUGUUUUUAUGCUUUUUCGGCUAUUUUUAGUCAAAAAGUGGAUUUUUCGUUCAAUGGAAUACUUGAUUUUUUUCAAAAAAAUUUACAAAAUUCUACUUUGAAAAACAAAAUUUUUGAGCUGCAUUGCAAGAUGGGCUUCAAAUAACUUCUAGUAAAAAAAAAUUAAAAAACAUUUUUUCUGUUUUUUCGAGUUGUUUUUCUUCUAAGAUCACACAAUACCUUCAAUCAGUCUCAAAAUACAUAACUUUGCUCUUAAAUUUUACAUCUUACUUAAUUCACUGUCAUUACAGACUUUCGUUUUUUUCUUAUUAUUUUGAAUACUAUGCGCUUUUAUUUCCGUUGAUCUAAAAAAUCUUUUUAAACUAAUUGCGUUAUCAGUAUUCGGUGUGGCAGGAUAAAUUUGUAGUGUGUUGGAUAUGGAUUUAGCACUCGUAAAAGAAUUCAACCAUUUGUUUCAAUUGAUUGAUACUCAGUUUUAGACGAAAAUUUAACUUCAAUUUAGGAAUUACGUGAUCUUAGAAGAAAAACAAAUCAAAAUGACAGAAAAAAAAUAAGUUUACAAAUUUUUUUGACCAGAAACAAUUUAAAGCUCAUUUUGCAAUACAGCUGAAAAAUUCUGUUUUUUAACGAAGAAUUUUGUGACUUUUUUUGAAAAAAAUCGAAAGUGUCCCAUUGAACAUAAAACCAAUUUUUUGACUAAAAGUUGCCGAAAAAGCUUAAAAAAAAUGAUUAUUCCGUUUUUUAAUUUUUAUUUAGAAAAAGCGUUAAAAUUUUUUUUAAAUGACUCGUAUUAUGUGAAAUUAUCAUAAUUAUAGUCAGAGAUAUACAUUUUUUAAGCAAAAAUCGAUAACUCCGGAAUGUGUGGAGAUGACGAGCUAAAAAUUUAUCUGAAGACUUCUUUUUACAUGUAUAAAAACAUUUAAAAAUCAAAAAAUCGAAGAGGGUCACCGUCGCAACGUCGUUGAAUUGACAUGCAAUGACCGAUAUACAGAUUAUUUGAAAUCCUAUUAUUUUAAAGGUAAACCCUACAACAGUGUUAACAAUGACUUCAACAAUCUUGUUAACACACUAUUUUAAUAAUACAUUACGUACUCAAUUUCUGGAGAAUAAAGAGCAUGUUUUUCUCAUGAGGGAAACGUUCAUUUAAUAAACCCUCAAAACGAAGAAAUCUUUCAAGAUACGCGUUCUUGUAGGAUAAGGCAUAUGAGACACCUUAACUUUUAUGAUAAAUUACAGAUUACGUUAUAAAUACGUUGGACAAUCAUCGAUACCAAAAUUCAAAUUGACCUAACUCAUAGUAAAAAUAACGGGAUUUUUUCCUUCGGGCGCUAAAAAAGGAUAUAACCUAAAUCAUAAAUUUUUGAAUUCAACGGUGGAUGGAAUAUUCGACUCACAAAAACGGAUUUCAGGAGAAAUGUGAUUCUAUAUCACGAACAACUGGCUGAAAGACAACGUGGUGUGGAUUUUGGUGUACAUAAAGAAAAAUAUCGUUUAAACCGUGUAUAGAAAAUGCCUCCUCGAAACCGUGUACCAACAGAGGAUGCCAUCAACUUGAUCAUCAAAUAUAUUGAACACUUUCGAACUGAUCAAUUUCCUGCUAGGUCCAGUGAUAUUUGGAAACAAAUGUCUAGAGACAUAAAUGGAAAAUGGAAUGCGGAAUCUGUGUAAACGAACGUUCGUAACGACAGAAGAAACAUUUUGACGGAAGCUAGGAAAAAAAUGAAUAUUACUAUUCAGAUAAAUGCUAAGCAGAGCAAUUAUUUCCGUUCAUCCGCAGAAUCUGAAAGUUUCGACAUAAAAGAAGAAUGGGUAGCCAUAAAACCAAACGAUGAAAAAUCCAUCGUGCAAGCUUCACCUAAAGACGUGAAACCCGCGUUAAAACCAAGGGUAUGGACAAAUAUAAUUGCAGAGGCAUUCUGACUCCAAUAUCGAAUGCCCUGUGCUUUUGUAUUCAAAAGAGCUGAUGUUACUUUAUCGCCAUUCGGCGAUUCAUAUAACAUUAAAAUACGUGGGAAAUGCAAAUGUCCAUCAUGCAGAAAUGAUUUUCAUGGGUAUGCCGAAAAAAAGUUGAGCGAGAAAGGGAUAACAAUUCAAGUAAAAACACGAGACACGCGUAUGAAUCCACAUAAGAUGACAAAACGCCCGCUGAAUGGACAGCGUCGUAAAAAAGUGAAAAAAGAAUUGAAAAAUGAAAGCUCUUCAGUAUGGAGGAAACGUUACGCGAGAGAAAAUAUGCGUGUUGGCGAGACGAAGCCUUCACAGUUACCUACUGAAAAUGUUGUACGUCAAGCGAGGAAAGAAGCGAUUGAUGAUCAAUACGGCAUAAAAAAGUCUGAUGGACAAGACAUCAUUAAGACAAUUAAAAACAUCACACAAACUCCAGAAUACUAUGGCUUUAUUCGCGAUCUUGCACUUGAUCCGUUCUUCGUGUUCUACAGGACACCUGCUCAACUACACGCAUAUCAAGAGACUCGGUAGAGUCUCGGGACAAGUGCAUUGACAGCCCUGUCGUCUGCUGGCCUGAGGCUCUCGCCGACGAGACUAUUUUUCUCUGAAUAAAACGAUUC
Venturia canescens is the source of this 4113-nucleotide long non-coding RNA. RefSeq lists it as uncharacterized. The transcript has 5 exons. Lineage: Eukaryota; Metazoa; Arthropoda; Insecta; Hymenoptera; Ichneumonidae. The record is from RefSeq and is a predicted model, not a curated record.